AGUGAACGCUGGCGGCAGGCCUAACACAUGCAAGUCGAGCGGCAGCGGGUCCUUCGGGAUGCCGGCGAGCGGCGGACGGGUGAGGAAUGCAUCGGAAUCUGCCCUGUCGUGGGGGAUAACCUAGGGAAACUUAGGCUAAUACCGCAUACGACCCACGGGUGAAAGCGGGGGAUCGCAAGACCUCGCGCGAUAGGAUGAGCCGAUGUCCGAUUAGCUAGUUGGCGGGGUAAAGGCCCACCAAGGCGACGAUCGGUAGCUGGUCUGAGAGGAUGAUCAGCCACACUGGGGCUGAGACACGGCCCAGACUCCUACGGGAGGCAGCAGUGGGGAAUAUUGGACAAUGGGCGCAAGCCUGAUCCAGCCAUGCCGCGUGGGUGAAGAAGGCCUUCGGGUUGUAAAGCCCUUUUGUCCGGGAAGAAAUCGUCUGGGCUAAUACCCCGGGCGGAUGACGGUACCGGAAGAAUAAGCACCGGCUAACUUCGUG
Molecule: ribosomal RNA, 484 nt
Filed under: uncultured bacterium
Lineage: Bacteria
Description: partial 16S ribosomal RNA
Rfam family: Bacterial small subunit ribosomal RNA
Source: RNAcentral